AAUAAAAACAUUCUAGAAAGAUGUGUGAUGCGUUCUAUGUGGCCCAAAAAUGGUUGAAAUAGCUGCUCACAGCACCGGUAGAAUCUUUAAUGAACGUGCAACUUCACUGUUGUACUGUAUUAAUGCCAUGGGAUUUGCAGUUGGGCUCAAUGCCCAUGCAUAUGUCAAGAAGGAGGAUGUAAGAGCGCAUCGCGAUCGCCGUCUCGAGAGUGCUUGUGAGUACGUAGGAGGGAGGAAUGGCUCGUAGACAACAUCAAUUUCAAAUACUAAAAGAAAUACUAUAGAAAUACUAUAAAAAAAAUUUUAUUUCUUCCAAAAGUUUGAACACGUUCUUCUUGAAACGAUGUUUCAAAGUCCAUGAGUACGAUUACUAGAAAAAUAGGUUGACUGAUCGAUCCAAAUAUGAAGACAACCUUCUGAGAUAUAUUCCUCAGAAAUUAAUCGAAGAAAUACGUUUUUAGGUAAUUAUUUCUAUUUUUUUGAUUAAUUGGUCGGGAAAAUUUUGGUCGAAUAGUUUUUGAUUCCGAAUGGGAGCUUUGUAUUCGGUCAUAUUUAAGUUCCCAAUCUUUUGCGAUAGGGUAAUUAAAUGUAGCCUAAAAAGUUCGAAUAUGCGGUGUGUUUAUUGCUUUUUCUUCUCGCUCAAGUAAUUAUUAUCAGAAAGGAAUUAAUGAUUGCUUAAAGAAUUGAUAUUAAUGGGCUCUUGAUCGUAUCAGAAUAUUGAGAGAAUCGCAUCAUUUUUUGUUAAGUUAUAGCAUAUUGUAUAUGAAAUUUUUUUUCGUUUUCUUUCGGCAAUGAGAUGACUGCUCAAUUUUUUUCCUCAAAGUAUUCUUAUUCAAGUCAAAAGAUGAUGGAACUACCUCUAUUAUUUUUAGAACAGUGGAAUUGGCUUUGAUAUUAGAUUACACUACCCUCCCUCUAUUUUUCGUUGAUUAUGAUGAGCUGUCGCCCGUAUUGGAAGUGCACUAAGAGGGAUGAUUAUUAAUAAUAUAAAAAAUGAAUUACCUUUUAUUGGAUUAUAUGACUUAUUAUUGAGAAUAUUUUACUCAUUAAGAUUAUUGGUAGAAAAACGAAUCGGAGUGGAGAGAGUCGGUGUGUUAAUAUAAACAUAAACAAUGACUUCAUAGGGAGAAUGAUCUGAGAGUUCUUUGUUAAUAGAUGAUAAUAUUUUUUUGAUCUUUGUGACCGGUAUUUAGUCUGCUCCAGCACUCCGUAGAGUACAGAUGUCACUUCCUCGUGUCAUAUUAAUAAUAAAAUAAAGUAAAGUUCAAUUCACUGCGUUUCUCUUGACCUAUUAUAGAUAAUCAUCUCUUGACCUAUUUCCAUUACUUUUCGACAUGUUUUGCACAAUUGAUGGAGCUGUCGAUGAUAGUACGAAUGAAACCAUUUCAUAACGAACCAACUUCACUCGAUUGCAUUAUAAUUCGAUUUUCAAUUGAGUACUUUCCCACACGAUAGGAUGACCUCAACCAGAUAAAUCGUGGUCACCGCCGAACACCUCUUUGUAGAGGACCUUCUGGAGAUCAUCCGCGGAAGCUUACCAUAUGGAUAUUUUUCGGAAUUUAUUCUGCCAUUUUAAACUUAAAUGUUGGUACUACAACUACCACUAUUUGUUCUAUUUUCAUUAAAUAAAAAGUCUUUCUACAAAA
Fopius arisanus is the source of this 1646-nucleotide long non-coding RNA. RefSeq lists it as uncharacterized. The transcript has 2 exons. The record is from RefSeq and is a predicted model, not a curated record. Lineage: Eukaryota; Metazoa; Arthropoda; Insecta; Hymenoptera; Braconidae.